AAUAUUCAUUGUUAAAAACAUGACUUGUUUAGAUGACACUGUCAUACAACAUCCAUGAGCAUGCACAAAAUUAAACCUGACAUACUUAACAUUGACAUGUUCAUAUUACACUAACAAGCUUAAACCUAACAUGCUGAACACCUUCUUAACAUCUUCACUCCUCCUUCUUCUCCUUCAUCAACCUGAUGCGCUCAGAGUGGCGAAUCCCAACGCGGAUGUACUCCUCUACCACAAUUGGCAUGGUCCUGUCGCCAAGCUGUGGGAUUGCAGGCGCCGCCACCAUCGCAAGGUCGUCAUCCGCCACCACCAUAGAAAGGUCGUCGUCCGCCACCACCAUAGCAAGGUCGUCGUCCGCCACCACCAUAGGAAGGUCGUCAUCCGCCACCACCAUAGCAGG
This 397-nucleotide long non-coding RNA is filed under the name Triticum aestivum (bread wheat). RNAcentral's name for it is "long non-coding RNA (TAES_LNC011594)". The record is from RNAcentral. Lineage: Eukaryota; Viridiplantae; Streptophyta; Magnoliopsida; Poales; Poaceae.